This 235-nucleotide ribosomal RNA is filed under the name uncultured bacterium. RNAcentral's name for it is "partial 16S ribosomal RNA". It matches the Rfam family "Bacterial small subunit ribosomal RNA", at positions 96 to 334 of the family's 1533-position model. The record is from RNAcentral.
UGGCGGACGGGUGAGUAAUGUCUGGGAAACUGCUUGAUGGAGGGGGGUAACUACUGGAAACGGUAGCUAAUACCGCAUAACGUCGCAAGACCAAAGAGGGGGACCUUAGGGCCUCUUGCCAUCGGAUGUGCCCAGAUGGGAUUAGCUAGUAGGUGGGGUAACGGCUCACCUAGGCGACGAUCCCUAGCUGGUCUGAGAGGAUGACCAGCCACACUGGAACUGAGACACGGUCCAG